Molecule: ribosomal RNA, 493 nt
Filed under: uncultured bacterium
Lineage: Bacteria
Description: partial 16S ribosomal RNA
Rfam family: Bacterial small subunit ribosomal RNA
Source: RNAcentral
UGGGGAAUAUUGGACAAUGGGGGCAACCCUGAUCCAGCCAUGCCGCGUGAGUGAUGAAGGCCUUCGGGUUGUAAAGCUCUUUUGGCGGGGACGAUGAUGACGGUACCCGCAGAAUAAGCCCCGGCUAACUUCGUGCCAGCAGCCGCGGUAAGACGAAGGGGGCUAGCGUUGUUCGGAAUUACUGGGCGUAAAGCGAGUGUAGGCGGUUGCCGUAGUCAGGUGUGAAAGCCUUGAGCUCAACUCAAGAAAUGCACUUGAUACUGGGUGACUAGAGGACCGGAGAGGAUAGUGGAAUUCCCAGUGUAGUGGUGAAAUACGUAGAGAUUGGGAAGAACACCAGUGGCGAAGGCGGCUAUCUGGACGGUUACUGACGCUAAGACUCGAAAGCGUGGGGAGCAAACAGGAUUAGAUACCCUGGUAGUCCACGCCGUAAAACGAUGGGUGCUAGACGGUUGGCGAGCUUGCUCGUCAGUGUCGCAGCUAAACGCGUUAA